GACGAACGCUGGCGGCGUGCUUAACACAUGCAAGUCGAACGGAAAGGCCCUGCUUUUGUGGGGUGCUCGAGUGGCGAACGGGGGAGUAACACGUGAGUAUCCUGCCCUUGACUUUGGGAUAACUUCAGGAAACUGGGGCUAAUACCGGAUAGGAUCUCCUGCUGCAUGGUGGUGGAUGGAAAGUUUCGGCGGUUGGGGAUGGACUCGCGGCUUAUCAGCUUGAUGGUGGGGUAGUGGCUUACCAAGCCUUAGACGGGUAGCCGGCCUGAGAGGUUGACCGGCGACAUUGGGACUGAGAGACGGCCCAGAAGCCUACGGGAGGCAGCAGGGGAGAAUAUUGCACAAUGGGCGGAAGCCUGAUGCAGCAACGCCGCGUGCGGGAUGACGGCCUUCGGGUUGUAAACCGCUUUCGCCUGUGACGAAGCGUGAGUGACGGUAAUGGGUAAAGAAGCACCGGCUAACUACGUG
This 468-nucleotide ribosomal RNA is filed under the name uncultured bacterium. Its description in RNAcentral is "partial 16S ribosomal RNA". It matches the Rfam family "Bacterial small subunit ribosomal RNA", at positions 28 to 507 of the family's 1533-position model. The record is from RNAcentral.